RNAcentral lists this long non-coding RNA (1032 nucleotides) under Mytilus galloprovincialis (Mediterranean mussel). Lineage: Eukaryota; Metazoa; Mollusca; Bivalvia; Mytilida; Mytilidae. The record is from RNAcentral.
CAUUUGCUGGACUUCGUUUUUUUUUUAAAAGAGGAGUAUAAUGAACGUUUAUGUUUAAAGUAAUAUAAUGAAGUAAGUGUCCAGCGUUUUUGGUACGCUUACGUUUUAUGGGGGAUGCUGACGUCGUAAAUAAUUUCAGUUAUUUGAAGACGUUUCGUUUGUGGACUCAGAUUUAUGCACACUGCCAAGGCAAAAAUGUACCAGAUUUCCUAUAUAAAGCUAGUACGUUACAAUACUCGUGUCCCAUUUACCAGCCAUCGUCAUGGGAUUUUUUUUUAAUAUCAAGCCCUGUGUUUUAAUAUUUUUCUGUCUUCUUCCAAGAUAUCUCAAUUUUAAUUAUGGCAUCAAGUAAACACAUGAGUAAUCGUAAAGCAAUGAUAUAAAAUGUAUAAUUUUACUCUGCAAACGGCACUGCAAGUAUAUACAUAUAUAUCCAGAUUCCAUUGUAAAAAUCAUUAAUUCAUAUAUUACAGUUGUAUUUUGGAAGAUGUAUCCUUUUUAUACCAAUAUUUUUUUCCGAUGAUUCUAAGAUAAACUGUACAUUCCCCGAAGGGUGAAGUGAUGUGUGGCUCGAAUGGUCGUAUUUUGUAAUUCUUGAUUGGUCGAACUUUAUUACAAAAAUGUGUUCUGCCUCUCCUGGUGUUGUCUCAAAACAAAUAGAAAAUGCUUGUUGGCUUCUUAUAGAAAGAACACGUUUUGUAUAAUUUAAAAGCAUGGAUAAGAUGUGCGUAUAAUGUAUAUCGUCUAAAAUUCAUAAGAAAAUCAGUUUCCCCCACCGUACUUCGAAAAAUACGAUUUAUCUCCAUUAGGACAGUAACUUUUAAUAAUUCAAAACGCUUCUAAUGCUCACUAAACAUGGUAAAGUCUCCCUUGAGGAGACAAUAAACACACGCGAUGCAGCAAUGUUUCUGCUUCUAUCCGAUUGUUGGUAUAUUGCGAUCUUGUUAUCACGGAAUGUUAUUGUCUAAAAAUAUUUAUUUUUUUUAAAAUAAGGAGAUAUUGCAUGAUUACCAAAAGAUUAGUAUUCACCAA